Molecule: long non-coding RNA, 147 nt
Organism: Perognathus longimembris pacificus (Pacific pocket mouse)
Lineage: Eukaryota; Metazoa; Chordata; Mammalia; Rodentia; Heteromyidae
Exons: 2
Source: RefSeq, a predicted model, not a curated record
CAGGGCUGGGAAUAUGGCCUAGUGGCAAGAGUGCUUGCCUCCUAUACAUGAAGCUCUGGGUUCGAUUCCCCAGCACCACAUAUAUAGAAAACAGCCAGAAAAGUGGUGCUGUGGCUCAAGUGGUAGAGUGAUAACCUUGAGCAAAAA